UGCUAGCUGUGGUCGUUGGUUUCUUGUUGGUUCCUCGAAUAUUAUCGAGGACCUCCAUCGGACACUUCCUGCAAAAUCGAUGGCGGUUUUUGGAGGAGUGUUUUCAUGCGCACCAGUUCUACAAGAUUCCUAAAUUCAAUCAAUAUAUGCAGGAGAAUCAACUUCAUCACAAAGUGUUACUCUAUCUUAAUUCCUUACCUUCCGCCGGUGAUUCCGAUUUCGUCAAUCUGUUUUCCGGGAAUAACAAGGCAAACGAGAUUACCCUCGUUAUUAACGCCGACCAGGUCUUCCCCGAUUCGUUUCUC
This 305-nucleotide long non-coding RNA is filed under the name Lactuca sativa (garden lettuce). Its description in RNAcentral is "long non-coding RNA (LSAT_LNC007806)". Lineage: Eukaryota; Viridiplantae; Streptophyta; Magnoliopsida; Asterales; Asteraceae. The record is from RNAcentral.